UGUACCUACGGGAGGCAGCAGUGGGGAUUAUUGGGCAAUGGGCGCAAGCCUGACCCAGCAACGCCGCGUGAAGGAAGAAGGCUUUCGGGUUGUAAACUUUUUUUAAGAGGGAAGAGCAGAAGACGGUACCUCUUGAAUAAGCCACGGCUAACUACGUGCCAGCAGCCGCGGUAAUCCGUAGGGGGCAAGCGUUAUCCGGAUUUACUGGGUGUAAAGGGGGCGCAGACGGCGAUGCAAGC
Molecule: ribosomal RNA, 239 nt
Filed under: uncultured bacterium
Lineage: Bacteria
Description: partial 16S ribosomal RNA
Rfam family: Bacterial small subunit ribosomal RNA
Source: RNAcentral